AUUGAACGCUGGCGGCAGGCCUAACACAUGCAAGUCGAGCGGAUGAAGGGAGCUUGCUCCUGGAUUCAGCGGCGGACGGGUGAGUAAUGCCUAGGAAUCUGCCUGGUAGUGGGGGAUAACGUCCGGAAACGGGCGCUAAUACCGCAUACGUCCUGAGGGAGAAAGUGGGGGAUCUUCGGACCUCACGCUAUCAGAUGAGCCUAGGUCGGAUUAGCUAGUUGGUGGGGUAAAGGCCUACCAAGGCGACGAUCCGUAACUGGUCUGUGAGGAUGAUCAGUCACACUGGAACUGAGACACGGUCCAGACUCCUACGGGAGGCAGCAGUGGGGAAUAUUGGACAAAGGGCGAAAGCCUGAUCCAGCCAUGCCGCGUGUGUGAAGAAGGUCUUCGGAUUUUAAAGCACUUUAAGUUGGGAGGAAGGGCAGUAAGUUAAUACCUUGCUGUUUUGACGUUACCAUCAGAAUAAGCACCGGCUAACUUCGUG
This 484-nucleotide ribosomal RNA is filed under the name uncultured bacterium. RNAcentral describes it as "partial 16S ribosomal RNA". It matches the Rfam family "Bacterial small subunit ribosomal RNA", at positions 30 to 507 of the family's 1533-position model. The record is from RNAcentral.